UUUCCUCAGGUGAACCUGCGGAAGGAUCAUUGUCGUGACCCUGACCAAAAUAGACCGUGCGUGCGUCAUCCAAUCCACUGGCGACGGCACCGUCCGUCGCUCGGUCAAGUCCUCGACCGCCUCCCCUCCUCAGAGUGGGGGCUCCGGGAGCCCACGGCGCCGAAGGCGUCAAGGAACACUGUGCCUAACCCGGGGGCAUGGCUAGCUUGCUAGUUGUCCCCUGUGUUGCAAAGCUAUUUAAUCCACACGACUCUCGGCAACGGAUAUCUCUGCUCUC
This 277-nucleotide unclassified non-coding RNA is filed under the name root metagenome. RNAcentral describes it as "partial contains small subunit ribosomal RNA, internal transcribed spacer 1, and 5.8S ribosomal RNA". The record is from RNAcentral.